UCAGGUUUGAGAAUAAGACUUUUGAUGAAGGACAAUGUUGGAGAGAAGUAGCAAUGUUAUUACAUGCAAGAAAUAGGAAUCGUAAAAGAUGGAAGGAUGGGUUACAAAAGCUCAAUUUCUACCCUUAGUUUUGGUUGAACAUUAUCUGCUAGGUAGUGAUGUGUAUAUGAAUUGAGUAGUUAGGAUUCAAGUGUAACUAGAAUGAAAGUGUAAAUGAGUAGUAGAAGUCCAUACUACUACCUUAGAUGCGUAUAUGAAUUGAGUAGUUAGGAUUCAAGUGUAACUAGAAUGAAAGUGUAAAUGAGUAGUAGAAGUCCAUACUACCACCUUAGGAUUACAUUGUAUAUUUUUUUGAUAUCAAUACAAAUCGACAGUUAAGCUU
Molecule: long non-coding RNA, 382 nt
Filed under: Nicotiana benthamiana
Lineage: Eukaryota; Viridiplantae; Streptophyta; Magnoliopsida; Solanales; Solanaceae
Description: long non-coding RNA (NBEN_LNC012932)
Source: RNAcentral